Molecule: ribosomal RNA, 1373 nt
Filed under: uncultured bacterium
Lineage: Bacteria
Description: bacterial SSU rRNA
Rfam family: Bacterial small subunit ribosomal RNA
Source: RNAcentral
GAUGAACGCUGGCGGCGUGCCUAAUACAUGCAAGUCGAGCGAACGGACGAGAAGCUUGCUUCUCUGAUGUUGGCGGCGGACGGGUGAGUAACACGUGGAUAACCUACCUAUAAGACUGGGAUAACUUCGGGAAACCGGAGCUAAUACCGGAUAAUAUUUUGAACCGCAUGGUUCAAAAGUGAAAGACGGUCUUGCUGUCACUUAUAGAUGGAUCCGCGCUGCAUUAGCUAGUUGGUAAGGUAACGGCUUACCAAGGCAACGAUGCAUAGCCGACCUGAGAGGGUGAUCGGCCACACUGGAACUGAGACACGGUCCAGACUCCUACGGGAGGCAGCAGUAGGGAAUCUUCCGCAAUGGGCGAAAGCCUGACGGAGCAACGCCGCGUGAGUGAUGAAGGUCUACGGAUCGUAAAACUCUGUUAUUAGGGAAGAACAUAUGUGUAAGUAACUGUGCACAUCUUGACGGUACCUAAUCAGAAAGCCACGGCUAACUACGUGCCAGCAGCCGCGGUAAUACGUAGGUGGCAAGCGUUAUCCGGAAUUAUUGGGCGUAAAGCGCGCGUAGGCGGUUUUUUUAAGUCUGAUGUGAAAGCCCACGGCUCAACCGUGGAGGGUCAUUGGAAACUGGAAAACUUGAGUGCAGAAGAGGAAAGUGGAAUUCCAUGUGUAGCGGUGAAAUGCGCAGAGAUAUGGAGGAACACCAGUGGCGAAGGCGACUUUCUGGUCUGUAACUGACGCUGAUGUGCGAAAGCGUGGGGAUCAAACAGGAUUAGAUACCCUGGUAGUCCACGCCGUAAACGAUGAGUGCUAAGUGUUAGGGGGUUUCCGCCCCUUAGUGCUGCAGCUAACGCAUUAAGCACUCCGCCUGGGGAGUACGACCGCAAGGUUGAAACUCAAAGGAAUUGACGGGGACCCGCACAAGCGGUGGAGCAUGUGGUUUAAUUCGAAGCAACGCGAAGAACCUUACCAAAUCUUGACAUCCUUUGACAACUCUAGAGAUAGAGCUUUCCCCUUCGGGGGACAAAGUGACAGGUGGUGCAUGGUUGUCGUCAGCUCGUGUCGUGAGAUGUUGGGUUAAGUCCCGCAACGAGCGCAACCCUUAAGCUUAGUUGCCAUCAUUAAGUUGGGCACUCUAAGUUGACUGCCGGUGACAAACCGGAGGAAGGUGGGGAUGACGUCAAAUCAUCAUGCCCCUUAUGAUUUGGGCUACACACGUGCUACAAUGGACAAUACAAAGGGCAGCGAAACCGUGAGGUCAAGCAAAUCCCAUAAAGUUGUUCUCAGUUCGGAUUGUAGUCUGCAACUCGACUACAUGAAGCUGGAAUCGCUAGUAAUCGUAGAUCAGCAUGCUACGGUGAAUACGUUCCCGGGUCU